Cyprinus carpio carpio is the source of this 627-nucleotide long non-coding RNA. The record is from Ensembl. Lineage: Eukaryota; Metazoa; Chordata; Actinopteri; Cypriniformes; Cyprinidae.
GUAAGAAAAUAAACACAAGCACACCCAUCACAUCUGGAGAGCAGCGUUGCUGAACAUUGAUCACUGCUCAACAAAGAUGCCUUCAGGCCAUUGACUAUUUGCACUGGCUGAUCUGGGCUCUGAGUUUCUGCAUCAGACGCAGUAGAAAGUGUGCAUGGUAAACAGAGCUGCGGUCCAGCGUCAGCAUCCCGUGGCUCAUUGUAUCCACAUCCUGCUCUAUACAAUCCCAGACGAUAUCGCCGAGGAAAGGCUGUGUGGCGUCUCCUCCUCUGCUGGCAGUCGGGCUCAAGUUUGUGGGAUGAAAAUAAUCCGGUGUCAUCCAGUGCAGGCCGUGGCCGAGUCAGAGAGGAUACGCGGUGCUGGGUGGAUUCACUGGAUGCUUGAGCUCAGCAGGAGCUUUGCCAGGAGAGCGUGUGUGUGGAAGAAGCUGUGGUUGCACUCUUGUGGUUGUGUAUAUGUGUGUUGGCUCUUGCUAAAAGCAUUCUGUGUCUGCGCAUUUAUGAGCGGCUUAGUGGCAAAUUGUCGAAAAAUUAAGCUUUGUGAUUUUAAAUACACAUAUGUUAAGGUACAAUAAAAUAUUAGCAUGCAUUAAAUUGGCACAUGUUUUAAAUAAACUUUUAAGGGAAC